AACUAUCAUCCGGGGAAGCACAGAUCAAGCAUAAAUGCAGGGGACCUUCACUAAAAGAGCCUAGCCAUAAAGAAAUGAGCCUAAGCACAGAUAAACCAGGAACUAACGAGCUAGGUAUAGCAACCCACUUCGGUCUAAGGAAUGAAGAACCAUGGAGAUGUCGGACAAGCCAGGAAUAGGUAUGGCAGAGCUUGGCUUCUCUAUAGCAUGAAGCCUAAGAAGGAAUCAAAAACCACUCAGUCCACACCCUUUAAGGAUAUUAGCCAAAGAAAAUACUCAUAGAGAGAAACACUAAAGCUGAGCAGAUCUUCUUGAAAACUCUCAAAUAGAAGCACCAAAUAUGCAACCCACUACAGCCAGCACACAAAAAAA
RNAcentral lists this unclassified non-coding RNA (372 nucleotides) under Hevea brasiliensis (rubber tree). The record is from RNAcentral. Lineage: Eukaryota; Viridiplantae; Streptophyta; Magnoliopsida; Malpighiales; Euphorbiaceae.